GUCUCCGUAGUAUAAUUGUCUAUCUCGUUUAGAUGAACCGAAAGGUUGACGGUUCGAACCCAUCCGGGGGCG
This is a non-coding RNA of Cinara cedri, 72 nucleotides long. NCBI's taxonomy places the organism in Eukaryota, Metazoa, Arthropoda, Insecta, Hemiptera, Aphididae. The record is from the annotation of a GenBank genome assembly.